RNAcentral lists this transfer RNA (67 nucleotides) under Haplosialis sp. RNAcentral describes it as "tRNA-Trp". Lineage: Eukaryota; Metazoa; Arthropoda; Insecta; Megaloptera; Sialidae. The record is from RNAcentral.
AAGGAUUUAAGUUAAAUAAACUAGUAACCUUCAAAGUUAUUUAUAAAGAAUUAUUCUUUAAGCCUUA